Molecule: ribosomal RNA, 1791 nt
Filed under: human gut metagenome
Description: bacterial LSU rRNA
Rfam family: Bacterial large subunit ribosomal RNA
Source: RNAcentral
UUUGAGGUAUCUCUAGCUGAAUACAUAGGCUAGGGAGGCGAACGGAGUGAACUGAAACAUCUAAGUAACUCCAGGAAAAGAAAUCAACCGAGAUUCCGAAAGUAGCGGCGAGCGAAAUUGGAUCAGCCUAAUGCUCGAUAACAACGGCUAAUACUGGCACAGUCUGGAAAGUCUGGCUAUAGAGGGUGAUAGCCCCGUACAGGAAAUUAGCGUUGUGGUACUAAGUGCAUGAAAAGUAGGGCGGGACACGUGACAUCCUGUCCGAAGAUGGGGGGACCAUCCUCCAAGGCUAAAUACUCGUGAUCGACCGAUAGCGUACCAGUACUGUGAAGGAAAGGCGAAAAGAACCCCGGGAGGGGAGUGAAAUAGAACCUGAAACCGCAUACAUACAAACAGUAGGAGCCUCGUUAAGGGGUGACUGCGUACCUUUUGCAUAAUGGGUCAGCGACUUACGUUUAAUGGCAAGCUUAACCGAUUAGGGGAGGCGUAGCGAAAGCGAGUUCGAAUAGAGCGAUUUGAGUCGUUAGGCGUAGACCCGAAACCAGAUGAUCUAUCCAUGGUCAGGUUGAAGAUGUGGUAACACACAUUGGAGGACCGAACCGACUAGUGUUGCAAAAUUAGCGGAUGAACUGUGGAUAGGGGUGAAAGGCUAAACAAAUCUGGAGAUAGCUGGUUCUCCCCGAAAACUAUUGAGGUAGUGCCUCGUGUAUAACUCCAGGGGGUAGAGCACUGUUAUGGCUAGGGGGACAUGGCGUCUUACCAAACCAUGGCAAACUCCGAAUACUUGGAAGUUGAGCACGGGAGACAGAGCACCGGGUGCUAACGUCCGGACUCAAGAGGGAAACAACCCAGACCGCCGGCUAAGGUCCCUAAUAUUGUCUAAGUGGAAAACGAAGUGGAAAGGCUAAAACAGUCAGGAAGUUGGCUUAGAAGCAGCCAUCCUUUAAAGAAAGCGUAAUAGCUCACUGAUCGAGUCUUUCUGCGCGGAAGAUGUAACGGGGCUAAGACAAUAACCGAAGCCGCGGAUUCACACGUAAGUGUGAGUGGUAGGGGAGCGUUCUGUAAGCCUGCGAAGGUGGCUUGUAAAGGCUGCUGGAGGUAUCAGAAGUGCGAAUGCUGACAUGAGUAACGUUAAAGUGGGUGAAAAGCCCACUCGCCGUAAGCCCAAGGUUUCCUGCUCUACGUUCAUCGGAGCAGGGUGAGUCGGCCCCUAAGGUGAGGCUGAUAAGCGUAACUGAUGGGAACAAGGUUAAUAUUCCUUGACCGCCGUUGAGUGCGAAGGGGGGACGGAGUAUUGAAGAUCAUCCGGGUGUUGGAUAUCCCGGUUUGCGCGCGUAGGAGGCUGAUAGGCAAAUCCGUCAGCGAAUCUCCGAGGCAAAGCAUCGAGACCUUUUAGGUCGAAGUGAUUGGAUGUGCUCCCAGGAAAAGCCUCUAAGCUCCAGCUCAACGGGACCGUACCGCAAACCGACACUGGUGGGCGAGCUGAAUAUGCUCAGGCGCUUGAGAGAACUCAGGAGAAGGAACUCGGCAAAUUGACACCGUAACUUCGGGAUAAGGUGUGCCUUUGUAGUGUGAAGGAAGAAACAUCCGGAGCAUGAAGAGGUCUCAGAGAAUUGGUGGCUGCGACUGUUUACUAAAAACACAGCACUCUGCAAAGACGAAAGUCGACGUAUAGGGUGUGAUGCCUGCCCGGUGCUGGAAGAUUAAUUGAUGGGGUGCAAGCUCCUGAUCGAAGUCCCAGUAAACGGCGGCCGUAACUAUAACGGUCCUAAGGUAGCGAAAUUCCUUGUC